UGAAACGAAUGUGAGCUUGUGCAAGCAUAGCUCACACUUACGUGAACAAAUUUCGCACUUCAAACCUCUUUUAUCAUCUCACUAGAUGUCUCGGUUAUGCAAAACGAAAUGAGAGCUUCUCGUUAAGACCGGAGGUGAAAUAGAGAAAAAGAAGAAAAAAAUAAAGGAAACUAAAGUCAUUUCUUUAUCUUGAAUUCAUAACAAAAGCAAAGUACAUGAUAGGUGUAAGAGAUGCAUGCCCAGCAGCAUUACAAACAAAUCCGAAGUCCAAACCCAGUAACAAUUCGAGAUCCCUACUUAAAACAAAUCACAACCUAGCUCGCUACCUUGUAUGCAUCCCUUACAUCCCAUGUUCAUAACAUUAACAACCCAAAAGAAAAAAAAAGCACUAGUUAAUUAGGACAUAUAUGUAAAAGAAACAAAACAAGCUAAGGUUAAACAUGGAACAAAAACAAGGAAACUAAAUUAAAAACAACAGAAGUUAAAAGUAAAAUCGGACCGCUACCCUCAAUUCCCCGCAAUGCAAUAAUGCCGCUCUCCCAAUUCUGCCCCCUCUAGAGGCUAGAAACUCGGGAGAGCGCAAUUGCAAAGCAUGUUGUUUGUGUGUUGUUGUGCCAUCAGCUACCGUCCAUAUCUACUAAAGAACCCUUUUCGACCGUGCCUCCACCUCCUUCGCCACCAGACACCCCAGCCACCGUGGCGGCGAGCCUUGAUGAGCAUCGUUGACAUAUGACCUUUAGUGAAAAGAACUAUAGUGUCAGUCAAUAUGCUUAAGAUAAAUUGUGCAUUAUGAGCUCUAAAACGAAGUGCUAAGUACUAGCUAGAAAAGAAAAGAAAAGAAUGUGGUGGAUAUAGAGGGCUAAGGGGACAUGAUGGGUCGUAUAUAAAGGCGAAACUAGCUAGUAGCUUUUUGGUGUAAUGUGAGUGGG
RNAcentral lists this long non-coding RNA (929 nucleotides) under Citrus sinensis (sweet orange). Its description in RNAcentral is "long non-coding RNA (CSIN_LNC002863)". Lineage: Eukaryota; Viridiplantae; Streptophyta; Magnoliopsida; Sapindales; Rutaceae. The record is from RNAcentral.